GACGAACGCUGGCGGCGCGCCUAACACAUGCAAGUCGAACGGAGCGGAGAGAAGCUUGCGUUGCUUAGCUUAGUGGAGCACGGGUGAGUAACGCGAGAGUAACGUGCUCUGGAGUGGGGGACAACAGUGGGAAACGAGCGCUAAUACCGCAUAAGCUCACGAUCCGGCAUCGGGGUGAGGGAAAUGGGUCUAUUCGCUAUAGGAUGGAGUCGCGUCCAAUUAUCUAGUGGGUGAGGUAACGGCACAGCAAGGCGAGGAAGGGUAGCCGGGCGGGGAGGCGGACCCGCCACAAUUGGACUGCGACACAGCCCAGACCCGUACGCGAGGGAGCAGUGGGGGAUAUAGCGGGCUGGGGGCAACUCUGACGAAGCGACGCCGGGUAGAGGAGGAAGCUUUUCGGAUAGUACUUUCCUGUCGUAAGAGGCGUUAGUGACGGUACCUGAUAAAGAAGCACCGGCUAACUACGUG
This 468-nucleotide ribosomal RNA is filed under the name uncultured bacterium. Its description in RNAcentral is "partial 16S ribosomal RNA". It matches the Rfam family "Bacterial small subunit ribosomal RNA", at positions 28 to 507 of the family's 1533-position model. The record is from RNAcentral.